Molecule: ribosomal RNA, 261 nt
Filed under: uncultured bacterium
Lineage: Bacteria
Description: partial 16S ribosomal RNA
Rfam family: Bacterial small subunit ribosomal RNA
Source: RNAcentral
UGAGUGGCGGACGGGUGAGUAACGCGUGGGCAACCUGGCCUGUACAGGGGGAUAACACUUAGAAAUAGGUGCUAAUACCGCAUAACGGGGGAAGCCGCAUGGCUUUUCCCUGAAAACUCCGGUGGUACAGGAUGGGCCCGCGUCUGAUUAGCCAGUUGGCAGGGUAACGGCCUACCAAAGCGACGAUCAGUAGCCGGCCUGAGAGGGCGGACGGCCACACUGGGACUGAGACACGGCCCAAACUCCUACGGAAGGCAGCAG